Molecule: ribosomal RNA, 478 nt
Filed under: uncultured bacterium
Lineage: Bacteria
Description: partial 16S ribosomal RNA
Rfam family: Bacterial small subunit ribosomal RNA
Source: RNAcentral
GACGAACGCUGGCGGCGUGCUUAACACAUGCAAGUCGAACGGUAAGGCCCUUCGGGGUACACGAGUGGCGAACGGGUGAGUAACACGUGGGUGAUCUGCCCUGCACUUCGGGAUAAGCCUGGGAAACUGGGUCUAAUACCGGAAAGGACCCUGGGAUGCAUGUACUGGGGUGGAAAGCUUUUGCGGUGUGGGAUGGGCCCGCGGCCUAUCAGCUUGUUGGUGGGGUGAUGGCCUACCAAGGCGACGACGGGUAGCCGGCCUGAGAGGGUGACCGGCCACACUGGGACUGAGAUACGGCCCAGACUCCUACGGGAGGCAGCAGUGGGGAAUAUUGCACAAUGGGCGCAAGCCUGAUGCAGCGACGCCGCGUGAGGGAUGACGGCCUUCGGGUUGUAAACCUCUUUCAGCACCGACGAAGCGCAAGUGACGGUAGGUGCAGAAGAAGGACCGGCCAACUACGUGCCAGCAGCCGCGGUAA